UACGGGGGGGGCAAGCGUUGUUCGGAAUUACUGGGCGUAAAGGGCGCGUAGGCGGCUAACUAAGUCAUACGUGAAAUCCCUCAGCUUAACUGGGGAACUGCGUGUGAUACUGGAUGGCUUGGAUUUGGGAGAGGGAUGCGGAAUUCCAGGUGUAGCGGUGAAAUGCGUAGAUAUCUGGAGGAACACCGGUGGCGAAGGCGGCAUCCUGGACCAAUAUUGACGCUGAGGAGCGAAAGCCAGGGGAGCAAACGGG
RNAcentral lists this ribosomal RNA (253 nucleotides) under uncultured bacterium. RNAcentral describes it as "partial 16S ribosomal RNA". It matches the Rfam family "Bacterial small subunit ribosomal RNA", at positions 524 to 776 of the family's 1533-position model. The record is from RNAcentral.